CAGCCGUAAACUAUGCGCGUUAGGUGUAUCGGUGACCACGAGUUACCGAGGUGCCGAAGGGAAACCGUGAAACGUGCCGCCUGGGAAGUACGGUCGCAAGGCUGAAACUUAAAGGAAUUGGCGGGGGAGCAUCACAACAGGUGGAGCCUGCGGUUUAAUUGGACUCAACGCCGGGAAGCUCACCGGAUAGGACAGCAGAAUGAUUGCCGGGCUGAAGACCCUGCAUGACUAGCUGAGAGGAGGUGCAUGGCGUCAGUGACU
Molecule: ribosomal RNA, 261 nt
Filed under: uncultured archaeon
Lineage: Archaea
Description: partial 16S ribosomal RNA
Rfam family: Archaeal small subunit ribosomal RNA
Source: RNAcentral